Molecule: long non-coding RNA, 2330 nt
Organism: Brassica napus (rape)
Lineage: Eukaryota; Viridiplantae; Streptophyta; Magnoliopsida; Brassicales; Brassicaceae
Exons: 2
Source: RefSeq, a predicted model, not a curated record
AUAAAGGAAUAUAAAAAUUUUAAAAUUAAAAAUUCAAGAAGCACUCGUAGUAGUCUUAAAUUUACUCAAUUUCAACAGCUAGAUAUUACAUGCACUGAAGUUACUUUCAAAUAGGUAGCUUAUGAAGGAAUUUCUUCUUGAGUUUUUAUAGCUAUGAUAAUGAUUUCUUGAAUAUUAAGGGAAAGAAGCUUAGGACACACUAUGAUUAUACUCUUAGACACAUACUCGAAUCCAUUAACACACACACAAAAUACAGAAGAUUUUCUCUUCAUUUAUUUAUGAGACUGCAUAAUUAUUUAAUUUUCUUAAAUAAAUAUGUGCAGAUACUAGCAGUGGUUUUAGCAACAAUAGGAGCUAUUAUGUCUUUAAGAACAUUGGAGAACUCUUUUGACAACAACCAUCAAAGGCUUGGCUCUUUAUGCUACUAUGUGGCUCCAAUUCUUGACCGGCAUCUUCAAGCCCUCUAGAGGGUGCAAAAGGAGGUUGAAAUGGUUCUUGUUACAUUGGAUUCUUGGAACAAUAGUGUCAAUAGUUGGCAUAAGGGCUUAUAAAAAGAAGACAUCAUCAAGCAGAGACUCAAGUCUUUGGACAAAUUGCACCCAAAAAAAAAAAAAAAGUCUUUGGACAAUCUUGUUUACAGCUCUACUAUCUUGUCUAAUUCUAUCUAAUUCAAGACAAAAGGGAGCAUUUUCAAAAGCAAAGAGUUUUUCUUGAUGAACUUGAUAAUCAUCAUAACAAUAACACAAAUGGAAGGAGUGACAUUCAAGUGGUAACAAGAAGUCACCAUGAACAAAAGGUUUAUGGUUCCUACCUUGUCGCAAAAGUAACGCACUUGUGAAUCAGUUUAAAUCGAUUUGAUUAGUAUGAAAAUCAGUUAUAUAAGGACUUGACUUGAUCUUUUUGGAUGUAGUAGUCAAUAUCACAUAUAUUUUUCACACACUUUUUUUUAUGAUGUAUGCUGUUGGAUUUGCUUUGGUUUGUUAUUGUAAAUACAUUUUUUUUCUUCGUAUAUUGCAUUUGAAUAGUAUAUUGUUUAACAUGAUAAAAAAAAAAUGAGAUAAGGUCAUUUUAAAGUGAAAAUGCGAGAUCUAUUUUUUUCUCUUAAAAGGGGUCAAAAUUUGGUAUUUAAUAUUUAUCAAAGAUUCAGCAGUAAGGUAUAUCAACGGAAUAAAAUAAAAACAAAAUUAGUUAAUCAAUUCAAUAGAAAAACAUAUAGUUAAAAAAAAUAACUCAAUAAAAAACAUCAUUUUACACUAGCUUUUCUUUGGGAGGUGACGUCAACAAGCUCUUCUAGCUGAGAGUGGCCCAACAUGAUUUAUUCAAGCUCCGUUUUGGUGUCAAUUAGGUGAAGCAGAGAUGAUUUGAGAAUGAGGGAAUAAUAGGUUAAGUUUGGAUGUAGAUUAAACGAAAAAGUUUGAACUUGGGAAUAAGGGCAUGUAGUAAGACUAUGUAUAGGACUUGUUCUGUAUUCAUUAGUUGAUUUUGAGUGUGGGGACAGUGAAAAGGGACAAGGUGGAGCUCAAAGCAAUUAAAGAGGGAGCAGUUAGCUACGCUUCCUUGGAGAAGAGGCUCAGUUAUAUGAGAAGCUUGUAAGGGGAGAGCUUUCGGAUGAAGAAGGGGAAGAGAAGUACUGUGUGGAUUUCUUCAGGAAAGGAGUAGAACAUGGAGAAGAUUUUAUAAUUAUGGACUGUUUCAUCACCACCUGAAGAUGUGAAAGCAGAUGGUGAACAAGAUGAGGGUUCGUUGUUUGGCACCAGAUUUGCUGGACUUGGACGUGCGGUAGGGACAGCUGAUAUAAUAAAUCAACAUGUGCGUAUGGUCAGGUAAAUACCAUUGUUGUCUCUCCUUUUUCUCUAUAAGCAGCACAAAGAGAAGAAAGCAAAGCAAGACCGCAAUAACAAGGUAAGGGACAAAAAACUUGAUUUUUUCAUGUUUACACUUAGCCAAGCUUUCGGUUGUGGAGAGUUUUCUCAGGAGUCAAAAAUCAUUGCUCUGUUUCCAAGCAACUUGGAGUAAAGAAACAUCAUUCAUUACACCAAUUCUAAGUUUGCUUAAAUAGUUUUACUAGUAUGUUAUUAUGUAAAGAUAAGUAAUUUUUUUCCAGUAUCUGUUAAUAGAGAGGAUUAUGCGUAUAAACAUAUAUCUACCAGUGAUGCUUUCAAAGGGAUAUAUGUACUGUGUUGUUAAAUUAUGUCAAUCAACGAUUCAACACCAAGAUACAGCACUCACAUCGCAAAAUGCAAGUCUAUUAGUAGUUGGUUAAAUAGAUUCAUCACACAAUGUUUUCCAAUGGACAGUUUGGCCGAGUGGUCUAAGGCGCCAGAUUUAGG